AGAGUUUGAUCAUGGCUCAGGACGAACGCUGGCGGCGUGCUUAACACAUGCAAGUCGAACGGAAAGGCCCUUCGGGGUACUCGAGUGGCGAACGGGUGAGUAACACGUGGGUAAUCUGCCCUGCACUUCGGGAUAAGCCUGGGAAACUGGGUCUAAUACCGAAUAGGACCUCGGGACGCAUGUCCCUUGGUGGAAAGCUU
This 200-nucleotide ribosomal RNA is filed under the name uncultured bacterium. Its description in RNAcentral is "partial 16S ribosomal RNA". It matches the Rfam family "Bacterial small subunit ribosomal RNA", at positions 8 to 210 of the family's 1533-position model. The record is from RNAcentral.